This 255-nucleotide ribosomal RNA is filed under the name uncultured bacterium. Its description in RNAcentral is "partial 16S ribosomal RNA". It matches the Rfam family "Bacterial small subunit ribosomal RNA", at positions 524 to 777 of the family's 1533-position model. The record is from RNAcentral.
UACGAAGGGGGCUAGCGUUGCUCGGAAUCACUGGGCGUAAAGCGCACGUAGGCGGCUUUCUAAGUCAGGGGUGAAAUCCUGGAGCUCAACUCCAGAACUGCCUUUGAUACUGCAGAGCUGGAGUCCUGGAGAGGAAGGCGGAAUUCUCGGUGUAGAGGUGAAAUUCGUAGAUAUUCGGAAGAACACCAGUGGCGAAGGCGACUUACUGGACACAUAUUGACGCUGAGGUGCGAAAAGCGUGGGGAGCAAACAGGG